AGCUGCUCCAGGUUGGAUUCUGGGGCAAGGGCUAGAGUUCAAGAGAUGUGGGUGUUUGUGGAGUCACUGUCAGAACAUCCUCCCUUUUCAGCUUCAAUUUAACUUCACAUCCAGAAAGAAAUGAAGAUCUUGUCCUGUCAAAUGCACUGGAGUCAAGCAGAGCAUC
Long non-coding RNA from Cyanistes caeruleus (blue tit), 166 nucleotides. RefSeq lists it as uncharacterized. Lineage: Eukaryota; Metazoa; Chordata; Aves; Passeriformes; Paridae. The record is from RefSeq and is a predicted model, not a curated record.